RNAcentral lists this long non-coding RNA (8032 nucleotides) under Lactuca sativa (garden lettuce). Its description in RNAcentral is "long non-coding RNA (LSAT_LNC005490)". Lineage: Eukaryota; Viridiplantae; Streptophyta; Magnoliopsida; Asterales; Asteraceae. The record is from RNAcentral.
UCGAACGAACGACACGCCUGGUUCCGUCUAACAAAUGGAGACACGGACCCCAGAAGGUACCAAAUGAAAGGUACAGCUGGUAAGGUCUAAAACAGUGAAUACAGACCGCAGACAGUAUCAAAUAAAAGAUACAUCUUGCAAGGUCAAAACAGAGAAUACAGACCGCAGACAGUAUCAAAUGAAAGAUACAUCUUGCAAGGUCAAAACAGUGUGACUCUGAAAAUGAGUUACCAGCAUACAGUGUAAAUUGCCGGUGAAAUACCGUUACCUUAAGGCCAUGAAUUAUAAGGUAACCCGGGAUACUCGUAACCAUACUAACCGACAGUAGAGUACCAGACGCCCUACAAGCGUCUAUAAAAUAUGACAUUUGUCACCUCUUGGCUUGGUAGGCCGUGGACUGUAGCUAGCAGUCAGGGUGCGGGAGUGUCAAUCCCGUAUAGAUCUAUACACACAAUGUCUGCUCUUCCUACAGGAGAGACUCUGGUUACCAACCAGACGACGGAGAAGGUCGUGUCCCGAAAACGCAUCCCAAAUAGUGGAUAGUAGGUUUCUAGUGGGUAGUGGGUUUCUAAUGUAAGUGCUGAACUAGAGGUAGAGACUCAUAACUGAACUGACUAGAUCAUACCUGUACGUCUAUACUCGUGUACAUAAUAUAUAACUAAUGAAUCAAACGACCUUCGGACGGACAUCCGAUCCCACCAGACCACAUCUCAACGAAGAAAAGGAAAUAGGGNNNNNNNNNNNNNNNNNNNNNNNNNNNNNNNNNNNNNNNNNNNNGGACUGUAGCUAGCAGUCAGGGUGCGGGAGAGUCAAUCCCGUAUAGAUCUAUACACACAAUGUCUGCUCUUCCUACAGGAGAGACUCUGGUUACCGAAUCGUGGUGUGAAAUCAUACAGUGCGGGAUAACCGAAUCGUGGUGUGAAAUCGUACAAUAUGGAAUAACCGAAUCGUGGUGUGAAAUCAUACAGUAUGGGAUAACCGAUUCGUGGCGUGAAAUCGUACAGUGCGGGAUAACCGAAUCGUGGUGUGAAAUCGUACAGUGUGGAAUAACCGAAUCAUGGUGUGAAAUCAUACAGUGCGGGAUAACCGAAUCGUGGUGUGAAAUCGUACAGUGUGGGAUAACCGAAUCGUGAAGUAUAAGUGUACCAAGUAUAAGUGUAUCACGAAGUGGAAACGACAACUAGUGAAGUAGAAGCAUCUAACAAGUAUAAGUGACUACAAGUAUAAGCGAAAUAGAGGCAAUAACAGGUAUAAGCGUAUCAGGAAGUGAAAGCGUUAUCAAGUAGGAGUUAACAAUAAGUGAAAAGCGAAGCAGCUGUAACUAACAAGUAUAAGUAUACGACGUGAAAGAGAAAUUUGAUGAAAACCUUGGAAAACCUUUAUACUUAGGAAAAUCACAUUUUGGUAUUCUUUGGUAAAUUAAGUUUGAAAACAUGUAGAAAUCUUUGGAACCUUUAUAAACCAGUUUGAAAUGAUUUUAGAUACAACAGUAUAAGUAAGAGUUUUGAAACAAUGGAAAACCUUUUUGAAAACCAUUAUAGUAUCCUACUCAGUAAAACAGUGUGCAGUGUGGUAAAAUCUCGUGCAUGCGGGUUAUCAAUCACAUGUGAUUGAUGUGAUAACUGGCAUGUUUAACUUGUAUUCCCCCCCUAUAAAACAUGUAAAAACAUUCAAAGGUGGAUUUAGGGGUAUGAACUCACCUGUAGUGAGUGGUUCUGAUGACAAAGUUGGAUCUGUUGCUAAGUAUCAAGUGGUGACUUGAGUACACACGUGAAUCCUAUUUAGCGCAUAUUGAUACAUAUAUGAAUAUAAUUAGUGUUAUGAGCAACUAACUUUUGAAUUGGGACCACUUUAGGGACUAGUAAACACUUAUAUUGAAGUGUUACAACCAUAAAUGAUUGUACGAAGGGUUAAAAGACUAUACAAGAGAGUGUAUGGCCUGAAUACACACUAUAUGUGUGUGUGCGGCCAUGUGUGCAGCCAGGUGUGCUGCCAGCACGUGUGUGCGGCCAUGUGUUCUACAAGAAAACAUGGUGUUCUUGGUGUUCAUGGUGUUCUUGGUGAAAGAUGUUACCUUUCCGGAUGAUACUUGAGAGGAUUUUCGAGUCCUAGCUUUGUAAGAGUGUAAGAAAUGAUCAAAAUGACCAAGGAUAGUAUAUAUAGGAGGGUGUGUGUGGUUGGAGGUGUGUGUGGUGGCCUGUGUGCGGCUGGCUGGCCGCACACACUAGUGUGCGGCCGCACACACCUGGUUUGGUGUGUUUGGCCUAUUUUUCCAUUGCUUCACCCAAACUAACCCAUCCUCCAACACGUAUUUCAAUUAUACUAAGCCUUAAGCACUCUUUUAGACUCGAGACUUCAUUAUAAAAUAGUAAAACGAAGCUAACUUUGAUAAAAAUGAAGAAUGUAAACUAGAAAUUUCGGGUUGUCACAUCAUCCCCCCGUUAGAGGGAAUUUCAUCCCGAAAUUCAAGUUUAGGCAAGGAAGUAGGUAUGAAUGACCGAGUAAUGAGAUGAAGAUACUUCCUAUUAGGCUGGUCCUCGCACUCCCAAGUGAACUCUGGCCUUCGCUUGUUGUUCUAACUAAACUUUCACUUACGGGAUGCGGAUUCCGUCUUGUUCCGUUACCGAUUCCUAUUGGUUCGUCUACGAAGUUAGGGUUCCCAAUGGUUUCUGUCAAUAUGAGUGGGAUAAAAGAAGUCACGUCGGGUAAACACUGAUCAAGUCUAAGAAGUGGAUCGUUCCGGUGUGAAACUUGUGGAAUAUCCGAAAGGAGUAGUGGCCUGAAAAGGGUUGGACGAAGUCUCCAUGAGGAUUCUCAGAUGGUCUUAAGCUCUCGGAUUUGUAGAGCUUUUCAGCACUUAGAACAUAGUGUAAUUCUAUGGCAAGAUCAUCACUGGCGUGAUCGCCAUUCCGAAGUUCCAAACGUGUUCACUCGUACUGUGGGUGUAGUCCUUCAGGUUGGUUCUUAGGAAGCUUGGGUUGUCCUUGGAUUCGCGCUUCCUGUCAAUUGGCUUUUGUAGACUUUCUAGAUUAUUGGGUGGAUUGCGUGUCUACGGGUACUUGUUUGCUGCAGAGUGUCUAUCUCAAUCUUGUGCAAAAUGAACCUGCACUUCUGAUUCUUGAGAUAUUUCUAACGGAAACCCUCAGGGUCAAAGAAAUAGGGUUUCACCAGACGAGUGUUGGAGUAUCUCAGGAGCUGGUUCUACUAUUUCUGCGUGAGAUAGUAUUCGUGGAACACCUAAUAGUCCAAUGAAUCUCUAAGACUUUGGUUUAUUCUAGUGCGGAAAGCGCAUGCUCCUGCAUAACCCCUCGACUAACACCAAGGCUGGUGUCAAGUCUAUAAUAUCUUCGAGAUCUGGGUCAUGAGGCUUAAUGCAACUACUUCCGCACUUUGAUCAAGUAUUCUUGGCUGCGGAGGUUAUCAUGUGGUUCUCGGUAUUCUAGUGUUUACUUCGGAGAAUGAAUUCUAUCGUCUACAGGGAGACGACGAUUUCCUCCAUGCGAGAGGGUGGAGGGUUAAAGGCACUACUCGUCUGUAAUAGGGUGGACGAAGUGCCUGAGUAGUGCGAACAUCUUCAACACUACUCUUCCGAAGGUUCUGAGUUUUCUCGGUCUAGGUCAAAUCUAGUGAGUAUAGGGUUCCAUUACUCGGAACUUUAAUCUCUUUACUAACUGAGGGUGUUAGCUAUCAUGUGAGCUCAACCGGUAUGACAACAACCUUCGGCUUUGUGGUCAUUAUAGUAGCUCAACCUGCAGUGGUUCUCUUGACUCCAACUCCUAUUUUAUGGAAUAGGAUGAAGGGCUUUACUAAGAGGUUCGUGGUAGAGCUCAUACUUGGCUUAACCACUAAUACUUGGUGUAUGCAAGUCGUAUAUAAUUGAGGUCGGCAGGAUGUUCAGUUGUGCGACUCCACCCCAGACCCACAACCCAACGAGGAACAGGGAGUAGGGAGGAAGCACACAUCUUAAAUCUUUUUUAUCUCAAUUAUAUAGCACUCUUAUGCGAGGUGCGAAGGGUCUUUCUGGGUUUCUACGGUGUCUACUUUGGAUGGUUAUCGUCUUCUGGAAUGCCUGCAGUUCCUCUCGCUUUGGUUUCUAUCUGUCUAAGAAGGGUUGGUUAACAACACGCGGUACCUUCUCCUGGGUACUUCGGACGGUUUGAAAUAUGAGUGACGACUGACGGAUCGCAUUAGGUUUUAUUAUUCUUAUUUUGUUUAGGUUCGGAAGAAACUUUAUCUGCCGAAAUGGCUACGGUGAAAGUUCUUUUUACACAGCACUAAGGAUUUACACAUGGUUGCACGAAGUCGAACCAUGAUUGAUAGAGGUUUCGAAGUUGGCAUACUUUGACAUGAUAUAGAAUUGGGGUCGAUAGAGUCAUGUGCCGAACGGGCACUCAAGUUCUAGGCGUCUCGGGUUUUGCCCCGUGUAUCACUGUCGCGGAUACUUGGACCGAUAGAGUCGACGCGGAACUGUAGAGGGUCCUGAGUGUUUCUGGAUAGGGUAUCUUUCAUGAAUGGAUUUUCAUGAGGCAUUUCUAUAAUCGCCUAACAUAUACUAGUCGUGUAUAAUUAAGGUGGGGAGGACUAUUGACUGAGCGACUCCGCCUUAAAUCCACAACCAAACGAGGAACAGGAAAUGAGGCGGCCUUCACUCACUCUAGGUCUAUCCAUCUCAAUUAUACAUGGUCAUAACAUAUAUGUUUAGCCAUUAUAGUUUUACCUGAUGAAAUUUUAAAUUCUAUAACAGUGUUGCGACUUUCGCCUUAACAGGGAAGUAAUUACAUUUGGAAUUAGCCUUUUAACGUUUUUGAUUAGUUAUCUGAGAUUGAGAGACGUACCAAAAAUCUACCGGGUUCAUUGAUGUUUCUCCCCAAGUAUUAGAGUUAGACUCCUCCCGUGCCCUUGUCGUUUUCUUCAGUUGGGCAGUCCCUUUUGAAGUGUCCCAUUUCCCCACAUAGGUGGCAAACUGUAUUGGUCGCCACAUUGGUGGUUGAUGUAAUAAACUCAACCGGGGUUCUGCAGACGCGAGCAGUAUGCCCCUUCAUGUUGCACCUAGCACAAUAGAGUUCUCGACAGAUACCAUGAUGAUGGUAGCUACACUUGUUGCAGUGGGGAAGGUUUCCUAGGUAUGGUCUUCUUGAAGUCGGGAUGGAAGGGCUGGCAGGGGUAUUGACUGUCUCGGCUCGUUGCCCUUCAGCAGGUCCUUGAGCCGAGGUACUUCCCUCCUCGAUCUUGAACUUUCUCUUCAGUGGAGUUGGUUGAGGUUCUUGAGUGGCUGGGUAUGCAGGUGUUGGUUUCCGUUGUCCAUUACUUGGAUCGGAAUUCCCGAUAGGGCUCUUGCUAACAUUGGCGUUGUUAGCAUUCAGUUGAGCCAUGACAGCUGCUACGGCUGCCGAGACUGCAGCUUGGAACGUAGCUUCAUCGAUUAGGAGAGUCGGCUUCUUGCCAGUGAAUUGGUUACGCUUCUUCGUAGGGAUGGUUUUUCCUACACGGAAAGGAACACAGCCGGUGAGAGACAAUGGUUAGCCCUUAGACGUAUCUAUCCUCACUAUAUUAGGCAUAAAUUUUCCCGUGCCUCGGAUGUUGGCUGUCUGAGUGUCGACCUACAUCCCUAUGAUGUAGUCCUGGAAAUCAAGGUAGGAGUAUGAGUAUCGGAGAAAGGCCAUAAGAUAGGAGUCAUUCCUACUAAGUUACCUUUAUACUGGGAAGGUUUCACUCUCCGGUCUGGAAAGAUUUGAGAACAGUUCGGAACGAACACCGUGGGGAGAGAGGCUCAUGAAGGCUUAUGGCUAAAUAUUCUCAAUAGAGGUGUGGGGUUCGGCUCUAAUCGUGUGACUGGCAAUGGGAGACGACGACUUACCUAACACAUAGCGUGAGUAGUGUAACCACUAACUCACUACAUUGUAUUAUUUUCAGGGUGUAUUAGCGUGACGAACACGAGGGUAAGACACUUCUCGGGUUCCAUGUACCGGCUCCCUCUGUCUGCCUCGUAUCUUUGAAUGGUAUCGGCGUUGGUUUCCUUCGGGUAGUUACCUAGGGUUCUUCUCUUGUGAAGACAUAUUGAAUUUCUACUCCGCCUUCCUUCUGAUUCCAACUCUACGUGUCAUCACUUCAUGAUGGAUGAAUGGGAAUCUCCGAAGUUUAGGCAAAUUUCUCACCGAUGUCCCUAUAAAGAUAUAGGCACUUGGUGAUCUCAAUAGUCUCAUCCUAGUUCAUUUAUUUCCGAACUGGAAAUCUUCUCAAUAAACCUCUUCUGGGUCUGAAUCAACUCUUCUGCCGUGCACUGAAGUGGAUAGGGUUUUCUACAGGUUUCAUGCGAGAAUGGAAAUGUCAAAAAAAUCCUAAGAGAUUAUUAACAUUUCACUGGAUGAUCCAUAUCGAGUCCUGCUACGAUUACACAGGGUAUACAAAUCAUAUAUAGCUUAGAUCCGAUAGGCCUUCGAAUAUGUGAUACUACUCUAUAUCCACAUCCCAACGAGGAAAAGGAAGUAGAGCGAAACCACACAUUCUUAGCCUAUGGGAUCCUUAUUAUAUAUAACCUUGGAAUUACACCCUCUGUAGUUGUAGGUAUAUCAAUAAGGAUCUUUUUAGUUCUUCACACAAGGUUAUCUAUGGAUCCUAAAAUAUCCCUAUGGUAUUUUAAUUUCUUGUUUGUUUCUUAUCUUCUGAAUUUGAUUCUGGGAUUAAUGUGAAUCUUUUGAUGUUCUAAAAUACUUCUAUAGUAUUUUGACUUUAUGUUUGGCUCUAGCAUUCCUAGUUGGUAAGUUUCAGACCUGUUGCACACCACUAUCACUCCCAAGCACAUGUUCAUCGCAUCUCGAAUAAAUGUAGUUGAUCAGGUUACAUUUAUUCCAGCUUACGAUUACAUAACUGCCCAGGUUUGACGGUAAUGCUCAACAUCCGAAGACUUUUAUUAUUGUUCUUCUUGUGAUACUUUUGUUCGAGUGUUUAGAUUCUGGAUGUUAUUAUACUUUGGUAAAAUAUGGUUAUAUUUUAAAGUAUAAUUCUUGGUCAGAGUGUUUUAUCCCUUUGUAUUUAUAGGUUGUAUAUCUUUUAUGAAUUGAUAUACUUAGCUCACUAUAAACAAUGCUCUGAUACCAAUCUGUCACACCCCAAAACCGGAACGGCGGAAACGUUCUGGGGUGGAUGACGUCAUGUCAAGUAUCACAACACAUGCAUUAUAGUAAUCAAAGUACAACAAAACAUUGCAUUAAUAGUAAUAGUUUUACAUGGUUUACAUUACAAUACAUCAAAGUAAUACAAGCAAAUAUAAUAAGUACAGCAUGGUACUAAGCUAUCUUCAUCAACAGCUCCGGGAAUGUACCUGUCUAAUGCUGACCUGAGAAUACAAGUUAUUUGAAAAGCGAGUAUCAGCAUUUUUACAAAUGCUGGUGAGUUCAUAAGUAAUUAGUGACAUUUUAUUCAAAUAACUUUAUAAUGUAGUAGUUUAAGAGUUUACAGUGUAUUAGAGUUCUUUCCAGAAAAUCCUAUAUUUUCUUUAAUAAAAGCAGCCUUCUACCAAGACUGGACGGAGUUAUGUGGUAAAAAGUAGUUUUCCCUUAAUCGCUAUCAUUAUCAAAAUACUGAAUUUGAUUAUUAAAGAAAGCAAGAGAAGUCAUGGAAAUAACAUAUGCCUCAGCAGUGAGGACUGCUGACUAAGGCAAAGGAAUCAUAGACUCUAGGAGAGUAUCGAACGAACGACACGCCUGGUUCCGUCUAACAAAUGGAGACACGGACCCCAGAAGGUACCAAAUGAAAGGUACAGCUGGUAAGGUCUAAAACAGUGAAUACAGACCGCAGACAGUAUCAAAUGAAAGAUACAUCUUGCAAGGUCAAAACAGAGAAUACAGACCGCAGACAGUAUCAAAUGAAAGAUACAUCUUGCAAGGUCAAAAACAGUGUGACUCUGAAAAUGAGUUACCAGCAUACAGUGUAAAUUGCCGGUGACAUACCGUUACCUUAAGGCCAUGAAUUAUAAGGUAACCCGGGAUACUCGUAACCAUACUAACCGACACUAGAGUACCAGACGCCCUAC